Molecule: non-coding RNA, 93 nt
Organism: Helianthus annuus (common sunflower)
Lineage: Eukaryota; Viridiplantae; Streptophyta; Magnoliopsida; Asterales; Asteraceae
Source: Rfam
GAGCUAAUGAUGAGAAAUACAAUUAUCUUAGCGGAUUUCAGUGAGAUUACUUACUUUUAAUUAAUGAUCUGAUUGUUACACACACUGAAGCUC